Molecule: ribosomal RNA, 465 nt
Filed under: uncultured bacterium
Lineage: Bacteria
Description: partial 16S ribosomal RNA
Rfam family: Bacterial small subunit ribosomal RNA
Source: RNAcentral
GACGAACGCUGGCGGCGUGCUUAACACAUGCAAGUCGAACGGAAAGGCCCUGCUUGCCGGGUACUCGAGUGGCGAACGGGUGAGUAACACGUGGGUUAUCUGCCCUGCACUUCGGGAUAAGCCUGGGAAACUGGGUCUAAUACCGGAUAGGAGCCAUUUUUAGUGUGAUGGUUGGAAAGUUUUUUCGGUGUAGGAUGAGCUCGCGGCCUAUCAGCUUGUUGGUGGGGUAAUGGCCUACCAAGGCGGCGACGGGUAGCCGGCCUGAGAGGGUGGACAGCCACAUUGGGACUGAGAUACGGCCCAGACUCCUACGGGAGGCAGCAGUGGGGAAUAUUGCACAAUGGGCGCAAGCCUGAUGCAGCGACGCCGCGUGGGGGAUGACGGCCUUCGGGUUGUAAACUCCUUUCGCUAGGGACGAAGCUUUUUGUGACGGUACCUAGAGAAGAAGCACCGGCUAACUACGUG